Molecule: non-coding RNA, 31 nt
Filed under: Mus musculus (house mouse)
Lineage: Eukaryota; Metazoa; Chordata; Mammalia; Rodentia; Muridae
Source: RNAcentral
UUGAAGAACAAAGACUUCAAGAGGACAGGUA